UACAGAGGGCUCAAGCGUUGUUCGGAUUUAUUGGGCGUAAAGGGUGCGUAGGUGGCGCCGUAAGUCGGGUGUGAAAUUUCGGAGCUUAACUCCGAAACUGCAUUCGAUACUGCGGUGCUUGAGGACUGGAGAGGAGACUGGAAUUCAUGGUGUAGCAGUGAAAUGCGUAGAGAUCAUGAGGAAGACCAGUGGCGAAGGCGGGUCUCUGGACAGUACCUGACGCUGAGACACGAAGGCCAGGGGAGCAAACGGG
This 253-nucleotide ribosomal RNA is filed under the name uncultured bacterium. Its description in RNAcentral is "partial 16S ribosomal RNA". It matches the Rfam family "Bacterial small subunit ribosomal RNA", at positions 524 to 776 of the family's 1533-position model. The record is from RNAcentral.